This 360-nucleotide long non-coding RNA is filed under the name Sus scrofa (pig). RNAcentral's name for it is "lncRNA (ENSSSCG00055004944.1)". Lineage: Eukaryota; Metazoa; Chordata; Mammalia; Artiodactyla; Suidae. The record is from RNAcentral.
AUGAAGCACUGGGUUGUGCAACCACAGAUUAAUUCUUGGACAGAUUUUUCUGCUUCACUACUUCUUUUGUGGGUGCCAAAAAUAAUUGCUGAUUGUGCCAAGUUGUGUCUUUAUCAGCUGUCAAAGAUCUCAGUGCACUGUCAUAUGGCAUCUAAGCACAUCAAACCACAACCAAAGCAAAGAAUAAAGAUGAGAGAAAGAGUGAAUUCUGAAACCAGUUCCAGUGUUUUCUGCUCAAAGCUCCAAGAGACAAUGUUGAAAACUCCCAUAAUUCGCGUCCUGGAGUAUUCUGAAUCAAUGCAACUGAUACUCUCUCCCAUAAUCACAGAGAAAAUGAGAACUCUAAGAAUCUAUCUCUGA